RNAcentral lists this long non-coding RNA (2497 nucleotides) under Homo sapiens (human). RNAcentral describes it as "HSALNT0370689". Lineage: Eukaryota; Metazoa; Chordata; Mammalia; Primates; Hominidae. The record is from RNAcentral.
UCCCAGCCCACUCUGAGGGCAAAGGAGAAUCAAAGAGGCUGCUUUAGGGCCCAGCGUCUGGGGCUUUUGCAGGGCAGAGGGCAGAAUCUCUUUUCCCAGCAACCCCCUCCCCCCACGACAGCUGGGAGCAACCCUCACCUCUGCUUCAAUCUGUACUCUUCCAGGCUGGCUGCCUGUACUCUGCCUGCCAACGUGGGGCUGUGGGGGCAGCAUCCCUCACAAGUCUGCAGAUGUGGACCUGGGCUUUUGUGAAAACCAACACCCAGUUCCUGCCAUAUCCCCAGGCUCUUUCCACAGGAGAGAAGUGGCAGGAAGGAACGCAGCCCUGACACUCAAAGGAACUCGGGGCAUCCUGCCUGUUCGUGUCCACACGUAGGGUUGGGCUCCUGACCACUUCUCCAACUGUGGAAAAGAAAUGAGCUUGAUAAGGGGAGUCAGAGGUACAGCCCUCCUUCCUCCAAGGGCUGAAAAAGCAGCCCUUAUUGACUGGCUUCUAUCACUCAUCUCAUUAAAGCCUUGUGAAAGCACCUUUGGCUCCACCCUCCACUUCUGAGCACUCUUUUGAAGGGAUUAGCACUCCCAGACUCUGGACUCGGGGGCUUGGAAAAGCUCUAUAGGUUUGAGAUUUACUGUGGCUCCAGGGAGCUGAGAGAUAGGCCAGCCUGAGUCAGGGCCGGAAGAAUGUUCUUCUAUUGUUCUGUCUGGGGGACAGGCACUCUGGCAGUCAUAGUAUCUUUCACUCUAUUCGCUUUCACUGCACUGGCUCUGGUUUGCGAGGUGUCCCCAGCAGCCUCCUGCAUGGUGCCCAUCACUCACUCCACACUGUCCUCCCUGUAAUCUGUCUUCUGUGCCAGCCAUCCUUGAAGUGACCUUCCUUUUUUUGUUGUUGUUUGAGACAGAGUCUCACUCUGUUGCCUAGGCUGGAGUGCAGUGGCCUAAUCUUGGCUCACUGCAACAUCUGCCUCCUGGGUUCAAGCAAUUCUCCUGCCUCAGCCUCCCGAGAAGCUGGGAUUACAGGUGAUCGCCACCACGCCUGGCUAAUUUUUGUAUCUUUAGUAGUGACGGGCUUUUGCCAUGUUGGCCAGGCUGGUCUCAAACUCCUGACCUCAAGUGAUCUGCCUGCCUCGGCCUCCCAAAGUGCUGGAAUUACAGGCGUGAGCCACCACUCCCAGCCUGAAGUGGCCCUUCUAAGCCUCUGAUCUUAUCAUCAUUGAGUGCUUUUCAUCAUCAUGCUGGGUCCCUGCCGUAAAACCUCCCAGUGCCUUCUGGUCUUAGUUUGGGUUCUUCCACAAAGCAGACCCACAGGUAGGGAUUUGGGUACAGUCAAGAGGCUGCAUACCAUGCUAGUUAAACACAUGAAUUUGGACUCAGAUGUUCUGAGUUCAAAUCCUGACUGUAUGACUUGGAACCACGCUUUCCAUAUCUGUAGAGUGUGAACAACCAGCAUAUCUACCUUACAGGGUUACGGUAAGAAUGAAGUGUGUGAAUAAAGCAUUCAGUGCUGAGCUGGCCACAGAAGGAAGGUUUUUAUUAUGGGAUACAUCCUGGCAUAGCUUUCUGUUCACAAGGCCCACCUGCCACAUUAUAGUUGUUAGUCUCUUUGUGUGGCUUAGUCUGCAUGCCCUAACCCCAAAUUCCAUGAGCAUAGGCUUUAUGCCUCACGUAGUUCUGUAUCCCUCCCAGUGCCUAGCUCUGAGCUGAGCAAACAGACACUCAUGAUAGGUGGAAGGGAACCAGCAGGUACUGACCUCCUUCCUAUGUAAACAACAGGCAUUAUCCUUAUUUUGAAAAUACAUAAAUAGAGACUUAGAUGUUAGCUAACUCGACCAAGGUCACACAGCUUGAAUUUAGAACAUGUUUGAACUGACCAACUUCAACCUUAAUGCAUGAUUUUUAUUGCACUGAGCCACUUGCUCAUGGUUUGACCCAGAAGAGAAAAUACCAACCAAAUAUUAGAGAUGACAUUUUACCAACUGCUAGGACUAAGAGGUGAUGAGAAAGAGCCCAGUGACCAAGGUGUGGGUGUAUCCAGGAAAAGAAAUAAACCUGUAUGAUCAAGGCGCCAGAAUAGCUAUCUUUAUAGGUUAUUUGAUUGUAAGCAACAGAAACCUAUUCUGGCUAACAUAAGCCCAAAACGCUAGUAUUGGAAGAAUUGGAAGAAGUAGCUCACAAAAUAGAAGAACCAGACGUCAGAGGGGUCAGGGAGCUGGUUGGACUUGGGAUCUAAGUAGCAGUAAGUAAUGUGAUCAACCUGAAUCACAUGACAGCCUCUUAGCUCUAGGCAGUCAGGGUUUGAGUGACUGUCCCACGCAGACUGCAUGUAACAACAGUGGGUGGGAACAAGUUUCAAAAAGGGAAAUGAGCAUGCUAAGACCAGAAAGAAAAGAAAUAGAUAUUAGGUUGGCCAAAACAGCUGAUGCCCUUUGCAGUGACAGUGUCAGCUAAUUUUAGCAAUAUAUAUCAUCUGCUGGGUUUUCUAUGUGUUAGGCAGCAUUGC